UCCCAGGUAGCUUAAUGGUAAAGCAUCCAACCGGCAAUUGGGGGAUCUGGGUUCAAGUCCCAGUCUAGGCU
Transfer RNA from Strigamia maritima, 71 nucleotides. It matches the Rfam family "tRNA". Rfam says of the family: Transfer RNA (tRNA) molecules are approximately 80 nucleotides in length. Their secondary structure includes four short double-helical elements and three loops (D, anti-codon, and T loops). Lineage: Eukaryota; Metazoa; Arthropoda; Chilopoda; Geophilomorpha; Linotaeniidae. The record is from Rfam.